GGUACAGGGGUAGCUUGCUACCCGCUGACGAGCGGCGGACGGGUGAGUAAUGCAUAGGAAUCUGCCCGGUAGUGGGGGAUAACCUGGGGAAACCCAGGCUAAUACCGCAUACGUCCUACGGGAGAAAGGGGGCUCCGGCUCCCGCUAUUGGAUGAGCCUAUGUCGGAUUAGCUAGUUGGUGAGGUAAUGGCUCACCAAGGCGACGAUCCGUAGCUGGUCUGAGAGGAUGAUCAGCCACAUCGGGACUGAGACACGGCCCGAACUCCUACGGGAGGCAGCAGUGGGGAAUAUUGGACAAUGGGCGAAAGCCUGAUCCAGCCAUGCCGCGUGUGUGAAGAAGGCCCUCGGGUUGUAAAGCACUUUCAGCGAGGAAGAACGCCUAGUGGUUAAUACCCACUAGGAAAGACAUCACUCGCAGAAGAAGCACCGGCUAACUCCGUGCCAGCAGCCGCGGUAAUACGGAGGGUGCAAGCGUUAAUCGGAAUUACUGGGCGUAAAGCGCGCGUAGGUGGCUUGAUAAGCCGGUUGUGAAAGCCCCGGGCUCAACCUGGGAACGGCAUCCGGAACUGUCAAGCUAGAGUGCAGGAGAGGAAGGUAGAAUUCCCGGUGUAGCGGUGAAAUGCGUAGAGAUCGGGAGGAAUACCAGUGGCGAAGGCGGCCUUCUGGACUGACACUGACACUGAGGUGCGAAAGCGUGGGUAGCAAACAGGGAUUAGAUACCCUGGGUAGUCCACGCCGUAAACGAUGUCGACCAGCCGUUGGGUGCCUAGCGCACUUUGGUGGCGAA
Molecule: ribosomal RNA, 787 nt
Rfam family: Bacterial small subunit ribosomal RNA